CCUACGGGGGGCUGCAGUGGGGAAUAUUGCACAAUGGGCGCAAGCCUGAUGCAGCCAUGCCGCGUGUGUGAAGAAGGCCUUCGGGUUGUAAAGCACUUUCAGCGGGGAGGAAGGCGGUGAGGUUAAUAACCUCAUCGAUUGACGUUACCCGCAGAAGAAGCACCGGCUAACUCCGUGCCAGCAGCCGCGGUAAUACGGAGGGUGCAAGCGUUAAUCGGAAUUACUGGGCGUAAAGCGCACGCAGGCGGUCUGUCAAGUCGGAUGUGAAAUCCCCGGGCUCAACCUGGGAACUGCAUUCGAAACUGGCAGGCUAGAGUCUUGUAGAGGGGGGUAGAAUUCCAGGUGUAGCGGUGAAAUGCGUAGAGAUCUGGAGGAAUACCGGUGGCGAAGGCGGCCCCCUGGACAAAGGCUGACGCUCAGGUGCGAAAGCGUGGGGAGCAAACAGGAUUAGAUACCCGGGUAGUC
RNAcentral lists this ribosomal RNA (465 nucleotides) under uncultured Klebsiella sp. RNAcentral describes it as "bacterial SSU rRNA". It matches the Rfam family "Bacterial small subunit ribosomal RNA", at positions 338 to 795 of the family's 1533-position model. Lineage: Bacteria; Pseudomonadati; Pseudomonadota; Gammaproteobacteria; Enterobacterales; Enterobacteriaceae. The record is from RNAcentral.